Ictalurus punctatus (channel catfish) is the source of this 1720-nucleotide long non-coding RNA. NCBI's taxonomy places the organism in Eukaryota, Metazoa, Chordata, Actinopteri, Siluriformes, Ictaluridae. The record is from Ensembl.
UCUCAUUAAAUGUGUAUAGAGGUAUUAGGAAGAAAAAUAAAGCUUGGAAGGGAGCAUCAGAGAUCGUUGGUGUCUCUGGUGAGCGUACGUAGCGAGUACCGUUAGCUUGCUUAACUAAGCCAGUAACAAAUCUAAUCCUAAGCUGAGCUCGUAACAUGCAAUUCCAUUCAUACAUCCAUACAUUCAUUUUUCAUUCCAAUUAUCCUACACAGGGCUGCAGGGAGCCUGGAGCUUAUCCCAGGGAACUCAGGGCACACGGUGGCAGACACCCUGGACGCCAUCGCAGGGCAAAACCUAUUCACCUAUUCACCUAUUCGUACACACCUAUUCACUCACUGCAGACGAUUUGGAAAUGCCGAUCAUCCAGAGUGACUGUGGGAUUCAAACGCUCAACCCUGGAGAUAACUUUGGUGUGUAUGUUGUAUGUGUGCAAGAGUGUAACGUUAAAGAAAGGAAGUGGUUUCAGAACUCCAUCUGCACCCUGCCUGCCUGUCAUCUGGGAAUACUUGCCUGGAAAUGGGAGCGGAGGAGGGAGAGGAGACAGGCUGGUCAUUAGCGGCUUAGCGGAGGUGUAGCACCAUGACAUGAGAGACAUGGAAAUGUGCCAAGAAGAAAGUGACAACACUGACAUGAGGGACAGGGACUCCAUCUGCCAAUGAGGAAUGCAAGGAAAACAUGAAGCAAGUUGUUUACAGGAGGAAAAAAAAGUUGCAUUUUAUUGCAAGUAGCCAAGCAUAUGUGUGGCAGCUUGGGGAAAUCUUUCACAUGGGUUGUGAGCCUGGAGCCUAUCCCAGAGAAAUUGGGGCACAAGGUGGAGGACACCCUGGAUGUGGUGCCAACCCAUCACAAGGCACAACUGCAUACACAGUCACACACUACAGACAAUUUGGAAACGCCAAUCAGCCUACAAGGCAUGUCUUUAGACUAGGGGAGGAAACUGGAGUACUGGGAGAAAAUCCCUGAAGCACAGGGAGAACAUGCAAAAACUCCACACACACACAGGGCGGAGGCGUUAUUCGAACCCCAACCCCGGAAGUGCGAGAAAAAUAGAGAGACAAAGGAAUGCCUUGGGGAGCCAGAGCAGGGGGGGGAGACAUCUGCAAUUCCCAGCGCAGAGUCGGUAUUGUUUCCCCGAAUCGGCAAGCGUUCCACAAAUUGACUUUGAAUGAAUUUAUUUUUAAUGUGAUGGUGAUGCCUCUUUGCCAGGGAGUGUGAAAAUGUGUGUCAUGUGUGUAUAUGGGGAAAAAAAUAUGUUUGAAGAAUUCUUUCGUUUUUUUUUUGUGUGUGUGUGUCAAUAAGGGCACAUAUAAAUAUUUGGUAUAUAUUGUCAAAUGUGUAUAGUGUGUAAAAGAGUGUGUGCUUUUGCGUUUGUUUAGUGGACUUCUGAUGAACUUUUUAGUGCCACAAUGACGCCUCUGUCGGUGGCCCAGUGUUUCCACUCAUUACAAAACAGCUCUCUCAUCACAACAUCCUGCUCUGAUUGUAUUCAUUAAUAAAUUAAAUAGCGGCCCAUUUCUGUUCCAACCUAAAUGAGUCCCACUGCAGUUCCUAACUAGGACACAGUCGAAUCAGACAAAUGGAAUGAUAUACACGAGCAGGUCUUUAGUCUUGUCUCUAAUUCGCAGAAUGCACGAACACACAACCUGUUGUUUCAACAUGUCCUCAAAAGAUAGUUACUUUUUCACAGGAAUAAAUGUAGCUGUAGACACCACAUGGUGCG